AUUCAGCUGACGAGUCUCAAAAGGGACGAAACUCACGUCCUGAAU
This is a non-coding RNA of Schistosoma rodhaini, 45 nucleotides long. The record is from Rfam. Lineage: Eukaryota; Metazoa; Platyhelminthes; Trematoda; Strigeidida; Schistosomatidae.